This 2193-nucleotide ribosomal RNA is filed under the name Yokenella regensburgei. RNAcentral's name for it is "bacterial LSU rRNA". It matches the Rfam family "Bacterial large subunit ribosomal RNA", at positions 1 to 2220 of the family's 2925-position model. Lineage: Bacteria; Pseudomonadati; Pseudomonadota; Gammaproteobacteria; Enterobacterales; Enterobacteriaceae. The record is from RNAcentral.
UUAAGCGACUAAGCGUACACGGUGGAUGCCCUGGCAGUCAGAGGCGAUGAAGGACGUGCUAAUCUGCGAAAAGCGUCGGCGAGGUGAUAUGAACCUUUGACCCGGCGAUGUCCGAAUGGGGAAACCCAGUGCAAUUCGUUGCACUAUCGUUAACUGAAUACAUAGGUUAACGAGGCGAACCGGGGGAACUGAAACAUCUAAGUACCCCGAGGAAAAGAAAUCAACCGAGAUUCCCCCAGUAGCGGCGAGCGAACGGGGAGCAGCCCAGAACCUGAAUCAGCUUGUGCAUUAAUGGAACGGUCUGGAAAGUCCGGCGAUACAGGGUGAUAGCCCCGUACAUGAAAGUGCACAGGUUGUGAGUUCGAUGAGUAGGGCGGGACACGUGGUAUCCUGUCUGAAUAUGGGGGGACCAUCCUCCAAGGCUAAAUACUCCUGACUGACCGAUAGUGAACCAGUACCGUGAGGGAAAGGCGAAAAGAACCCCGGCGAGGGGAGUGAAAAAGAACCUGAAACCGUGUACGUACAAGCAGUGGGAGCACCUUCGUGGUGUGACUGCGUACCUUUUGUAUAAUGGGUCAGCGACUUAUAUUCUGUAGCAAGGUUAACCGUAUAGGGGAGCCGAAGGGAAACCGAGUCUUAACUGGGCGUUAAGUUGCAGGGUAUAGACCCGAAACCCGGUGAUCUAGCCAUGGGCAGGUUGAAGGUUGGGUAACACUAACUGGAGGACCGAACCGACUAAUGUUGAAAAAUUAGCGGAUGACUUGUGGCUGGGGGUGAAAGGCCAAUCAAACCGGGAGAUAGCUGGUUCUCCCCGAAAGCUAUUUAGGUAGCGCCUCGUGAACUCAUCUUCGGGGGUAGAGCACUGUUUCGGCUAGGGGGUCAUCCCGACUUACCAACCCGAUGCAAACUACGAAUACCGAAGAAUGUUAUCACGGGAGACACACGGCGGGUGCUAACGUCCGUCGUGAAGAGGGAAACAACCCAGACCGCCAGCUAAGGUCCCAAAGUCAUGGUUAAGUGGGAAACGAUGUGGGAAGGCACAGACAGCCAGGAUGUUGGCUUAGAAGCAGCCAUCAUUUAAAGAAAGCGUAAUAGCUCACUGGUCGAGUCGGCCUGCGCGGAAGAUGUAACGGGGCUAAACCAUGCACCGAAGCUGCGGCAGCGACACUAUGUGUUGUUGGGUAGGGGAGCGUUCUGUAAGCCGUUGAAGGUGAACCGUGAGGUUUGCUGGAGGUAUCAGAAGUGCGAAUGCUGACAUAAGUAACGAUAAAGCGGGUGAAAAGCCCGCUCGCCGGAAGACCAAGGGUUCCUGUCCAACGUUAAUCGGGGCAGGGUGAGUCGACCCCUAAGGCGAGGCCGAAAGGCGUAGUCGAUGGGAAACAGGUUAAUAUUCCUGUACUUGGUGUUACUGCGAAGGGGGGACGGAGAAGGCUAUGUUAGCCGGGCGACGGUUGUCCCGGUUUAAGCAUGUAGGCGGGAGGUUUAGGUAAAUCCGGACUUCUUUUAACGCUGAGGUGUGACGACGAGGCACUACGGUGCUGAAGUAACAAAUGCCCUGCUUCCAGGAAAAGCCUCUAAGCAUCAGGUAACAUUGAAUCGUACCCCAAACCGACACAGGUGGUCAGGUAGAGAAUACCAAGGCGCUUGAGAGAACUCGGGUGAAGGAACUAGGCAAAAUGGUGCCGUAACUUCGGGAGAAGGCACGCUGAUAUGUAGGUGAAGCCCCUGCGGGUGGAGCUGAAAUCAGUCGAAGAUACCAGCUGGCUGCAACUGUUUAUUAAAAACACAGCACUGUGCAAACACGAAAGUGGACGUAUACGGUGUGACGCCUGCCCGGUGCCGGAAGGUUAAUUGAUGGGGUUAGCGGCAACGCGAAGCUCUUGAUCGAAGCCCCGGUAAACGGCGGCCGUAACUAUAACGGUCCUAAGGUAGCGAAAUUCCUUGUCGGGUAAGUUCCGACCUGCACGAAUGGCGUAAUGAUGGCCAGGCUGUCUCCACCCGAGACUCAGUGAAAUUGAACUCGCUGUGAAGAUGCAGUGUACCCGCGGCAAGACGGAAAGACCCCGUGAACCUUUACUAUAGCUUGACACUGAACAUUGAGCCUUGAUGUGUAGGAUAGGUGGGAGGCUUUGAAGCGUGGACGCCAGUCUGCGUGGAGCCAACCUUGAAAUACCACCCUUUAAUGUUUGAUGU